This 301-nucleotide ribosomal RNA is filed under the name uncultured bacterium. Its description in RNAcentral is "partial 16S ribosomal RNA". It matches the Rfam family "Bacterial small subunit ribosomal RNA", at positions 509 to 809 of the family's 1533-position model. The record is from RNAcentral.
CAGCAGCCGCGGGAAUACGUAGGUGGCAAGCGUUGUCCGGAAUUAUUGGGCGUAAAGCGCGCGCAGGCGGAUCAGUUAGUCUGUCUUAAAAGUUCGGGGCUUAACCCCGUGAUGGGAUGGAAACUGCUGAUCUAGAGUAUCGGAGAGGAAAGUGGAAUUCCUAGUGUAGCGGUGAAAUGCGUAGAUAUUAGGAAGAACACCAGUGGCGAAGGCGACUUUCUGGGCGAAAACUGACGCUGAGGCGCGAAAGCCAGGGGAGCGAACGGGAUUAGAGACCCCCGUAGUCCCUGUCUCUUAUACA